ACAACUCCGAUUUCAGAUCCGUUUGUUUCUACGCGUUCCUAACUUCGAGACCCACCUAUUCCACCGACCUAUGGUCUAUAUAAACUCUCCACCAGACCGCAGUUUCGUUUUCCCUUUCCUCCUCUCGAAACCCUACAUCAACGAAAUCUUAACUCGUUGAUUUGACCACCAAAACUACCUCGAAUCACCUCGGGCUCUACACGAAAGUUGUAGAUCUCGUCGAGAUCUUUCAAUCCCGACCAAUCUCAUCUCUUUUCAUCCACCAUACACGAAUAAUUUCGCUUCGCAAGGCGUCAGGUCUGACAAAGGGAAUCUCCAAUUUGUUCGUGCUCGUUCCACGAAAUCCAAAUUCCUUUGAUCUAUUUCGAGUCAACCGGAGCCAAAUCGAGUUUCAAAACCAUCUCGAAUCGUCAUGACCUCAACACGGAAGUUGUUCCUCUCGUCAAGAUCUUUCAAUUGCCGCAAGUUUCACCUUGUUUCGUUCACCGAGCAAGGAGAAAAUCGUGUUGCAAGAUUCAGAUCUUAUAAGUUCGUACGGAGAGGCACGUAUUUUGAAUAAGAGAAGUGAACGCGCUUCGACUACCAAAAAGGCAAGUGACACUCAAUUACCUACCUAUUUUGUUAAGCAUUAGUGUUUUAUAAAUUAGUAUGCAUGGUAGGAAUUUGUUUUCGAAAGUUAUGCUAUGCUUAUCAAUCCCAGUAGUGUAUAGUCACCAUGAACCCUUGCUAGCAUUCUUAGUUUGCCUAGCAAUAACAAAAUGCCAUUGCUGAUUUGAUUAUUAUGGAUUGUGAGUAUUGGGAAUUAAAAUUAACAACCUUAAUGAAACACCUGGGUGGAUUGGUUGAAUGGUGGGCGGCUACUCAGGGCCACAGGACUCCUGUCUAGUACUUGUCUUGUGGUUGUCUUCGCCUGGGGGUGCGCAUAAGUUGAGUGGCUACUCAGGGCCACAUGACUCCUGUCUAGU
Long non-coding RNA from Lolium perenne, 965 nucleotides. RefSeq lists it as uncharacterized. The record is from RefSeq and is a predicted model, not a curated record. Lineage: Eukaryota; Viridiplantae; Streptophyta; Magnoliopsida; Poales; Poaceae.